This 356-nucleotide ribosomal RNA is filed under the name uncultured Glomeromycotina. Its description in RNAcentral is "LSU rRNA". The record is from RNAcentral. Lineage: Eukaryota; Fungi; Glomeromycota.
CACCUACGACGAGUAUCAGCUCUUCGAGUGCGAAGUUGUGGGCGUGUGAGAGUCUUUAACCGGGCCUCGCUGUUUGCAAUUUUGUGCUUUUUGGGUGUACUUUUUCGUAUGGUAGGCCAACGUCAGUUUUGAUUACCGUAAAAUGAUCGGAGGAAUGUAGCUUCGAUCUCGUAUUGAAGUGCUAUAGCCUCUGGUAGAUGCGGUGACCGAAACUGAGGAUUGCAACGAAUACCCUUUUGGGCUAUCCGUCUGGCCUCUGAAAGUUGCUUAGGUGCCGAAAGCGUGCUUACGGCUAUUUAAGUUGACGGUCAACAGGUUAGAACGUGAUUACAUUCGUUAAGGAGUUUUGACGUAAA